AUACUUACCUGGACGGUGUCUAACGGAUGAUCAACAAGGUCUAUGGCCUAGGUUGGUGACCUUCAUUGCACUUAGGAGGGGUGCCCGCCUAAGAUCUGCUUAAGUGGCAGAGUCUACAUCAUAAUUUGUGUUAGUCGGUGCCUACGUUCGCGAGGCUCCUGU
Molecule: small nuclear RNA, 162 nt
Organism: Camellia sinensis
Lineage: Eukaryota; Viridiplantae; Streptophyta; Magnoliopsida; Ericales; Theaceae
Product: U1 spliceosomal RNA
Source: RefSeq, a predicted model, not a curated record